RNAcentral lists this long non-coding RNA (760 nucleotides) under Zonotrichia albicollis (white-throated sparrow). RNAcentral describes it as "lncRNA (ENSZALG00000009682.1)". The record is from RNAcentral. Lineage: Eukaryota; Metazoa; Chordata; Aves; Passeriformes; Passerellidae.
CACACUCUUGCCCUACGAAACCGCGAGAAGAGUUCAAAGCGGGAGUCCCGCACUCCCUGUGGGAGGCAGCUCCUGCCAGCCCCCCGGGCCAGCCCAGCCAGCCGCACCGCCUCCCCGCUCCAUGCUCAGCCCCGGGCGGCGGGCAGGGCCAGCACCCACCACUGCAGGACGGGGAGUUACUCUUUACCCAUGUGGAAAUGCUCAAUGGAAGGAGCUCCAGCCAUGACCUGUCUCUCUGCUGGCACGAGAGCUGGAAGGGAUGCGUCUGCACCUCUUGUUUUUCCCUCUCUGGGUGGGGAGGCACAGAGGGCCAGGAGCCAGGACCAUGGCACUCCAGCAGCUGAACAUCUCAGGGACCACUGAGGACCUUGCAGGCUGCAUUUGUUUGCACACAAGAUGUGAAUAAUGAAGGAGUCUACAAAAUUCAGCUGGCGAAAUUCUAUCAGAGUUUGCAAGAAACAAAACAAACACAAAAACAGCCCAUCAAGUAAAAAUGGCUGAUAGAUGCAAAAGGCAACACAGAUGGAGGUAAUGGAAUUUCAAAAGAGGAAUUAGAGAAUAUCUGAAUGGAAGCUCGUAAAUCUGCAGCAAUUCAGCUUUGCCAAGAAUUGCAGUGGGAAAUCCUCAUUAUGGGAGAUAUUUCCAUUCUGUACUCACUGAUGAGAACUUUGCUAGGGCAACCACAGGGAAAGCAGGAGAGCCAGCCAUCAGCAUUCCUGAGCCCUGCCAGCCUGCAGUGCUGACUCACAAGGCAGCCUUG